Molecule: long non-coding RNA, 1180 nt
Organism: Homo sapiens (human)
Lineage: Eukaryota; Metazoa; Chordata; Mammalia; Primates; Hominidae
Gene: PACRG-AS2
Product: PACRG antisense RNA 2
Source: Ensembl
AUAAUGAAUUGGAGGGGAGCGGUGGGGCACGAUUCAGUCCACUGCACACCGUUCUCCUCUCCAGACCUCUCACUGGCAAGUCCUUUCAUCUCAAUUUCAGUUCUGUGAGGCCGUCCUACUAUUGUCUAUCACCCUGUUUGAUUUUUUUGUAGCCUCAUCAUUUAUUCAUUACAGUUUCUUAAGUUCUUUUUUUUAGGGAGCUUGUCAUUGCCUAGAAGAGUGCUGGGCACACAAUAGUGAUACUGAAUAUACAACUAAAAUCAUGUAAUAUAGCACAUGAGAUUCUUAAUGCUAAAAUUAAGACUUUUUAACAUGAAAAAUGCUCUUAAGGGCAGAAAUGAAGCAAAUUUCAGGCAAGAUGGCAGACAAGACUGAAACGGAUUCAUCCAUCAACUGCUACAGACUUAAAAAACAAAAUAUGCCCAAUGCAAAGCUGAGCUCAGGAAAUCCUCAGAUGCUAGAGAUAAAGACAAAAUCCAGUUGCAGAAGUGAGUUCCAGGUGAUGCCAGGAGACCCCAGGAAGUAUCAGAUUAGGUCACAAAACUAGGAAUAAGGUUUUAAUGUCUUCAGAAAAACAGAGCAUUUGGUGAGAGAAGGGAACUAAUCCGAGACUCCCGCAUACAACCAGGACACUUGAAGGGCUGCCUCACCUGUGAAAAAGAAACUGGAAAAAUCUCUUCAAAUCUGUCUGUGGAAACAGAAAGACAGCCUGGUGUUUGACAAAGCUCUCGGUGGGACAAACCUCCUCUGAGAAAUGGAAACCUAGGAAAUCAAAAGCCCAGAAAUUAAGGGAAAGCAUUAGUCUCAGAUAAUGAAAAGGAAACCCUUGGGGCCCGGGCCAAAGCAAAUGUAAAAACAUGAACACUUGCAUAAUCUCGUACAUGGGACUCACAGAAAAUGCAACCCCUAAUAUAGAUGAGCUCGCAAUGAAAAAUUAUCCACCACUGUGGCAAUGCAGUCACCAAAAGGAAGACUCAACAGACCAAUGAGCAUAGACACGAGCUGUGGAGGUAACAACUGGAAACAGAAGAAUAAAAUCUCAAGAUAAAUAAUUUAAAAAUACUUAACAUGGAAAAAUAUUUCACUUAAAAAAUAUAACUUUUAGAAAAAAUAUAGUAUCAUUAACUUAAAAAUUCAGUAGCUAGGUUGAACAAUAAAUUCACCACAAAUGAAAAGAGAA